UUAUCUAACUUGAAUAGUUCAAAUAAAUACAGCAUGUCUAUGAAAUAAAUAAAUAAAAUAAUUCUGCCCCAACAUGUCUAUGAAAUACAUUUUUUAUGAAUUCUUCCGCACAUGGCGCCAUUGAAUGACCAAUUCUCUUUGUCAUCAUCGAUUGCAAACAAUCAUCACUCAAACCCAAAGGUGGCUUUGAGCUUAAUGUCAACGGCAUGGAAACCAUGGCAAAUAUAUCAGAGUACAUGACAUUAUCUGCUUACAGGGCUCCCUAUGUCAACACGUGAACAGAGCACAAAGGAUCAUCAAUACAUGUGUUGUCAUUGGGAGCCCUGACUGAGGAUAAUGUAAGGUAGUCUGACCGUGUGUUGUCAUUGGGAGCCCUGACUGAGGAUAAUGUAAGGUAGUCUGACCAUGUGUUGUCAUUGGGAGCCCUGACUGAGGAUAAUGUAAGGUAGUCUGACCGUGUGUUGUCAUUGGGAGCCCUGACUGAGGAUAAUGUAAGGUAGUCUGACCAUGUGUUGUCAUUGGGAGCCCUGACUGAGGAUAAUGUAAGGUAGUCUGACCGUGUGUUGUCAUUGGGAGCCCUGACUGAGGAUAAUGUAAGGUAGUCUGACCAUGUGUUGACAUUGGGAGCCCUGACUGAGGAUAAUGUAAGGUAGUCUGACCGUGUGUUGUCAUUGGGAGCCCUGACUGAGGAUAAUGUAAGGUAGUCUGACCGUGUGUUGUCAUUGGGAGCCCUGAAUGAGGAUAAUGUAAGGUAGUCUGACCAUGUGUUGACAUUGGCAGCCCUGACUGAGGAUAAUGUAAGGUUGUCUGACCGUGUGUUGUCAUUGGGAGCCCUGACUGAGGAUAAUGUAAGGUUGUCUGACCGUGUGUUGUCAUUGGGAGCCCUGAAUGAGGAUAAUGUAAGGUAGUCUGACCAUGUGUUGUCAUUGGCAGCCCUGACUGAGGAUAAUGUAAGGUAGUCUGACCGUGUGUUGUCAUUGGCAGCCCUGACUGAGGAUAAUGUAAGGUAGUCUGACCGUGUGUUGUCAUUGGCAGCCCUGACUGAGGAUAAUGUAAGGUAGUCUGACCGUGUGUUGUCAUUGGCAGCCCUGACUGAGGAUAAUGUAAGGUAGUCUGACCGUGUGCUGUCAUUGGUCAGCCCUGACGGAGGAUAAUGUAAGGUAGUCUGACCGUGUGCUGUCAUUGGUCAGCCCUGACUGAGGAUAAUGUAAGGUAGUCUGACCGUGUGUUGUCAUUGGGAGCCCUGAAUGAGGAUAAUGUAAGGUAGUCUGACCAUGUGUUGACAUUGGGAGCCCUGAAAGAUGAUAAUGUAAAGUAGUCUGACCAUGUGUUGUCAUUGGCAGCCCUGAAAGAUGAUAAUGUAAAGUAGUCUGACCAUGUGUUGUCAUUGGGAGCCCUGAAAUAUGAUAAUGUAAAGUAGUCUGACCAUGUGUUGUUAUUGGGAGCCCUGAAAGAUGAUAAUGUAAAGUAGUCUGACCAUGUGUUGACAUUGGGAGCCCUGAAAGAUGAUAAUGUAAAGUAGUCUGACCAUGUGUUGUCAUUGGGAGCCCUGAAAGAUGAUAAUGUAAAGUAGUCUGACCAUGUGUUGUCAUUGGGAGCCCUGAAUGAGGAUAAUGUAAAGUAGUCUGACCGUGUGUUGUCAUUGGGAUGAGUCACAUGGCAUACUUCCAUUAGCUCCAACUCGCCAUUAAGCGUACACCUGCACUCUGUCUGUACUACACUCAGUAGACUGUGUCUGUCUGUCUCUCCCAAAUGGAACCCUAUUCCCUAUGUAGUGUACUAUUUUUCUCUCGAGCACUAUGGGCCCUGGUCAAAAGUAGUGCACUUCUUAGGGAAUAGGGUGCUAUUUAGGGUGCUGGGUGUGAGUCCGGUUGUGAGUGUACCAGGCUGCUCUACUCUGCUGAGGGCCUUGUGUGGAAUUCAAUGAGAAGUCCCAGCCAUUCAUUUCCAUUACCAUUGUUGGCCCCAGUCACCGAGUGGAGGAGACGGUGGCAGCAGAUAAUUGAAAUGAAUUGCCGCAGAACAGUAGUGAUGAGUGUGUGUGUGUGUGUGUGUGUGUGACAGAGAGAGAGGGUGUGGAGUCUCGAUCAGUCUGGAUGGUAUAUGGGAGAGAAUACAUUUGUUAAAACUAACUUUCGCUGAUGCUGACGUUUUACUGAGCGUGUGUGUAAAUGAAUGAGUAUAGGUGUGUGUAAAUGAAUGAGUAUAGGUGUGUGUAAAUGAAUGAGUAUAGGUGUGUGUAAAUGAAUGAGUAUAGGUGUGUGUGUAUAUCUAGGUAUGUGUUUCAUUACUCUGAAUUUCUCUCACUGACCCCCUGGACAUCCCUGCUCCCCCUUUUCUCCCUGCUCCUAGAGGGUCCUUUGUUGUCAGCUGUUGUCAGGGUCUCUCUGGCUGUGUGUGUGUAUCUGCACUGCGUGUAAGCGCACCUACCUCUCACCACUCACUCUUCCCUUUGCCCCAAUGAUUCUAUUUGCACCCCUCCCUCUCUAUCAAACUUUCCCUCUCU
Molecule: long non-coding RNA, 2506 nt
Organism: Oncorhynchus keta (chum salmon)
Lineage: Eukaryota; Metazoa; Chordata; Actinopteri; Salmoniformes; Salmonidae
Exons: 3
Source: RefSeq, a predicted model, not a curated record